GACGAACGCUGGCGGCGUGCUUAACACAUGCAAGUCGAACGGAGAGGCACUGCAUUUGUGGUUUGCUCGAGUGUCGAACGGGUUUGUAACACGUGAGUAACCUGCCCUGUAAUUUGGGAUAACUUCAGGAAACUGGGGCUACUACCGGAUAGGAGCUCCUGCUGCAUAGUGUGUGUUGGAAAGUUUCGGCGGAUGGGAAUGGACUCGGGGCUUAUCAGCUUUUUGGUGGGGUAGUGGAUUAGCAAGGCUUUGACCGGUAGCGGGCCUGGGAGGGUGACCGGCCACAUCGCGCCUGAGAUGCGGCCCGGACCCGUCCGGGACGGAGGAGUGGGGAAUAUUGUACAAUGGGAGGAAGCCUGAUGCAGCACAGCGGCGUGCGGGAUGACGGCAUUCGGGUUGUAACCCGCUUUCGCCUGUGACGAAGCGUGAGUGACGGUAAUGUGUAAAGAAGCACCGGCUAACUACGUG
RNAcentral lists this ribosomal RNA (468 nucleotides) under uncultured bacterium. RNAcentral's name for it is "partial 16S ribosomal RNA". It matches the Rfam family "Bacterial small subunit ribosomal RNA", at positions 28 to 507 of the family's 1533-position model. The record is from RNAcentral.